CAUCAUCCUCGCCCGGGGAAAGGCGGCGGACAAUCGGGCGGAGUGCUCGGAGUCGGUCGGCGUCGGCAGGUUUUUCGUUCAGGCAAGUAAGUUAGACAGACGCGCUGAGAGCAGCGGGGGCCUUAAUUUGCCUCAACAAAGAUGGCCGCUGUGCCGGAAGUGGCUUCAGCCACAACAAAGAUGGCGGCGAGGAAGGGCGGAAGUGACGUCACGCCACGCACAAGAUGGCUGCCCGAUCGAGGCUGCCUUGACCUCCCAAGGAUGGCGGCCAAAAAGGCGGGAAAAUGGAAGGACCCCGGGCGGUGGGUGCGUGCGAUUGACUGCCUGACAAACACCCCGGCGCCGACGCCGCUCCGGCGCAAUUUUCCGCGGCUUUUCCGGCCGUGCGGACACGGGCUGUGCGCUCGGCGGCGCCGGGGCCGGGCGCCAGCAGGUCGGGCGCCGACAGGCAGCGGUGAAGACGCCUCUCUCUGCCGGGGUCCUUGCCGCGGCCGCGUUCUGGGGCUUCUGGCACUCGCGACGACCCGUACCUCGCCGCCGCUGCUCUCGCUCCGUUCUCUCCCCCUCGGCCCCCCCCCGGGAAAUGGCGGAAACCCCAAUGGCAUCGGGACCGAACGGUCGCUCCCCGGCCCUGGGACCGAAGCAGCCCGAGGAGGCGGCUGCUCUGUGUGUCGGAACGGUGAGAGCGGGGGCCGGGGCUGGGGCAGGUUAUCAACCGAGUAUAUACCUGCAAUCCUCCCCUUGCAGCUGCUGACAGCACUGAAAACCUGUGUGCUUCGUGGUGUCUAUUGCCCAGCUGGCAACGAUUCCCUUGUGUUUGGUGCAUUAAGUCACACUGAGCUGUGUGGGAUGGCAGGAUCUGCCUCAGUUGUGGCUCCCAUCCUUCUGAAGGACUCUUCAGCGCAACCCGUCCGAGCCUGGCGUUCGCUACAGGCCUCCGCGUGGUGGGAGAUGAGUCUAGGAGGAAAUACCUUCAAUCCACAGACGAGGCAGAAAGGACUCAGUACAAGGAGGACUGGACUCAGAUGA
Molecule: long non-coding RNA, 1029 nt
Organism: Cyanistes caeruleus (blue tit)
Lineage: Eukaryota; Metazoa; Chordata; Aves; Passeriformes; Paridae
Source: Ensembl